This 1013-nucleotide long non-coding RNA is filed under the name Populus tremula. Its description in RNAcentral is "long non-coding RNA (PTRE_LNC000583)". The record is from RNAcentral. Lineage: Eukaryota; Viridiplantae; Streptophyta; Magnoliopsida; Malpighiales; Salicaceae.
UUUUUCUUUCCCCCCGGGGCUUUCUUCUUCCCUGCUCUCCACAGACCUCCCCAUUUUUCCAAAAAGAAAAUCACGGCGCCUCCCCUUUGGCCGGCGAUUUUUGCUCCUGAAACAACCCCUUUUGCCGUGACAACAACAACCCACACAUCCACUUUUCUCCCCUCGGCCGCUAGCCAAAAGAACCAUUUCACCAUCGUCAUCUCCAUUUUCCCCUCAUUUUCCUCUAGCCUUUGGACCACAACAGCCUCUUUACCUUCUCAGUUGCAGGAACAAAAGGCGAACCGGGCGGAGACCAGCCCUCUCCUCACUUUUCCUCACCGCCGGUCAAAGAAGAAAGAGGGGCUCACUCCCUCAUCUCCAUCGCCAGGCCUCUCCUCCAUUUGCCCCCCAGCGGCGGCCAGCCACACAGCAGAACAGCCUCACCUCCACCGACGAGCGAACGGGCAGGGCUGUUCCCCAUCGGCCUCUCUCUCCGGGUCAACGGACAGACCCAACUCAGCCCCACUCCGGACAGAGAUUACAGUCGUCCCGAACUCGCCCGACCUAGCUUUCUCUCCUCGCCCGCCUUCAGUAACGGCAGUCUCAGCUCUGACUAGCCUCUCUCUCUCAGCCACCGUGGAGUAAGCCUCGUUCACAGAAGAUCCAAAGCAAAGGGCUCUCCUUCACAACAGAACCAUCCCCGGAGAAGAAGAAAGGAACCACGCACAGAAAACAAAAAAUUAAAAGCAGCUCUAAAACAAAAACUAAAAUCAAUUGCUGCUGUGUGUUAGGGUUGUUUUCCAGGUCACGCCGACGAAGAAGAGAAGGAGAAAGCAGGGCAGAUCCGCCCGUUUCCAGCAUGGUCAGCGGCGGUACGUGGGAAGACGCGCCGCCACGAGUUCAGACAGUUCCGAAAGUGUCCUUCAAUGCAAUUUCUGGAGUUUUAGGGACUAUUUUUGUAAAUUUUAAAUUGAUUAAUGUAAUUUUUGUUUCGUUGUUUUGAAUUUGUAUUUUUUUAUAAAUGUGAUGUAAAA